This is a non-coding RNA of Ceratotherium simum simum (southern white rhinoceros), 2227 nucleotides long. The record is from RefSeq and is a predicted model, not a curated record. Lineage: Eukaryota; Metazoa; Chordata; Mammalia; Perissodactyla; Rhinocerotidae.
CUUAGAAACACUGCAGCUAUAACUUCACGACGUGGAUGCUGCUUGGGUUCUGAUCACAAUAUUGGUUAGGAAUUUUGAAAGUUGACCCCUAACAACACACACCUGUCUUACCUAAUUGCUUGAACUUAAUUCUGAAUGCCCUUUUACACUUUUUUUCAACCAGGAAAAAGGCCUGUGUCGUAUCAACACUUAUCUAGCAGCAUGCUACAGAAGAGAAACUAUGAGAAUUUUAUGGGGAAUGCACAUUAUCGACCAAAUGACAAAAAAACUUGAUUUCCUAUUUUGGGGAAAGAAAGGUCUCGAUGGAUAUAAGUGUGUACCCUCCAUGAAAUAAAUUACGUCAUCCUUUGAGAAGGCAAAUAGUGAAAGCUACUGAAAUAAGCUGUGAUUGUACUGUACAUACGACAUACGAAGAACACUACAGUUUUGUAAAGUUGUUCUGUUAACUUUUGUACCAAAUAGCAAUAAAAACUAGAGUUGGAACAGUUGGGUUGUACACAAAUAGAGACUGGAAAUCUCUAUUUUGUCCCUGAAUAAUAUUUUUUUUAGAAUUGACCAAAUAAGAAGUGGAGUUUUUUGCAUACUUGAGCGCUGCUGAAAAGAAAUCAUUGGGGUUGGGGGGUGGGGUGGGGAGAAAGUAUAUAAUGCUUGCACCUCAGGUAAAGUCUGUAAAUACAUAAGUUGUAAACCUGCUUGUUUAAAUCCUGUGUGUAUUCUUUUUUUCUAAUGUAGCUCAUCAUUUUGAGCAGUUUCUGCUAUUUGUGCUCUUUCAUUUAAAAUGUUUUUAAAAAAAUUACUCAAUGAUUUGUAUUAUGUUAAAUCCUCUGCAAUCUGUUUGUUGUCUUAACAAAAUUGUUAACGGAAGUAUUGACCGUCUAUAAAUAUGUGCUGCAUAUAUUGAGGUCAGCCAUUCUGAAUUUGGUGCCCUUUUAUUGCAAACUUCAGCAUGUCAACUGAGGCAGACUCCAGGUUCCUGAUCCUUUUCUUAGGGACUGUGGUGGUUUGUGGCUUUUAAGUGUGUGUGUCUACAGAGAAGCAUUUCCUCUGUCGAGCAGCCAAACAGCCAGUAAACGUACCAAAUUGUAUGUGAGUUACUUAAAUUAGUUUUCUAUCAAAUUAAUCAUUUUUGUUGGGAAAUUCAGUUCUUUGGGUGUUUGCCUAAAUUAGUAUGUAAAAAUGUAAACACUAAAUUAUACAUGUGAAUUACCUAUAUUGGAAGCAAUUUUAAAGGAAAUGAAAGUUUUUGGGUAAAUUUUAGGGUUGUAUUUGGAAGUCUCGGUGUGUCUGGCGUUUGGGUCGACUGUGGACACACUCAAGUUAAUUACCGACAGAUUGAUUCUGCAUAAGGAACUGCGUGGCUGAGCCUUCUGCUAAUCGGGGAAGGAGGUAAUCUGUUUCUAGACCUCAGUUGUCUUCCCAUUUUUGGUUGUUUUGAAGGAGCAAAGUUUUUCUCAGUGUACAUGCAAUUUGGGUUUUAAAGAUAAGAUAGCCACCAGCUGGCUUACUAGAUGUUUUAAACUUUUGUUCCCUUAAUAUGCUGUCCAUGGCUGAGUUUAUUCAGCAGUAUGUGGCUUUAGCAACCACAAAAUAUUUUAUUAAGAAAACUGUUUCAACAAUAAAUUUGCACUGUUAAUUUUUCUUGCCCUGCCCUUCUCCAUUAGAGCAAGGGUGAAGUCCUAAAAGAAUCCUAAUUUUUUUUUUUUCCUUUGCGUUUUUUUUAUUAUGCAACAUGAAGCAUACUUGAUAGAGAAAGAAGUCUUAACUCCCGGGUUGAAGGGAGACCUAAUUUGAGAUCAGUCUGCUGGCAUUGCAAUGAAGUGCUUUGUAUCAGGAAAGUAUACACUAUUUACCUGUUUUCCUGUUCACAAGCUGAGCCAUAUGUACAUAAUCUAGAUUUUUGUUUUCAUAGUUUUGCACUUUUAUAGCCUAUUUUUGAAGAUUAACACAUUUGCAAGAUGAUUGACUUGAUCUUUGCCUAAUCCAAUGAGUGUUACAGAAAGCUUGCUGUGACUAUAAAUGUAAAUCUUAAAAGGGGAUAUGUGAUAAUAGAGGGCUGAAAUUUAAAACUGUAUUUAAAAAAAAAAUCACCAAAUCUAUUUGAAAACAAGCCAAUUUGUGUUAUGCUGAAAUUUUUUGGGCUUUCAGAUUUCUCCUUUCUAACCACAUUUCUGAAUGCAUAGAAAUAUCAGUUUUCCCCACAGCCCUUGUACUCCAAUAUAUGUUUUUU